UAAGUAGUACGCAAAAAAAAAGUUUAAGAACCACUGCUAUAGAGCCUUUGGAUUAUCAGUAUGUUUCUACUGCUGUUGAAACUCCAGCAUUAACACCUUAUGCACGUGGCAGUUAUUCUUUGUUGUCAUUCAAAACUGGACAGUUUACUGGUCAAACUGGUGGUAAAGUACUAACACCUGCAGAACUUUCUGCUGGAUUUCAAACUUGACUGAAAAAGGAUCAGCUUAAAAAUGCUGCUUUAAGAAACCGUGGUAUUAGAAUUCAUUUGUUACAAAAAAUGGGAUGGAACCAAGUGAAGGUCUAGAUAAGAAUCAAUAUAAAUCUCUAGAACCACUUUUACUAUAUGCCAAAAUGAAUAAGAGGUGUAAACAAAUUUUACAAAGAAAAGGAAAUCGCACAAAGUUUUCAAAAAAAACAUUACCCAUGUUGUCACUAGAUGAUAAAUUGUCCAAAUAGGACAAGCAAACAAUAAAAUAGCUAGGUAGUUGUCAAUGGAGUGUAGUAUUGUUCAUCAAGGUGUGGAACCAAAAAAAAUGACUAAAAUGGAAGCUACCAAAGAAUGUUUAAAAUAAAU
Long non-coding RNA from Aphis gossypii (cotton aphid), 575 nucleotides. RefSeq lists it as uncharacterized. The record is from RefSeq and is a predicted model, not a curated record. NCBI's taxonomy places the organism in Eukaryota, Metazoa, Arthropoda, Insecta, Hemiptera, Aphididae. The transcript has 4 exons.